AUUGAACGCUGGCGGCAUGCCUUACACAGGCAAGUCGAACGGCAGCAGGAUCUCGCUUGCUAGAGGGAGGGCGAGGGGCGAACGGGUGAGGAAUACAGCGGAACGAGCCCUGUAGGGGGGGAUAACGAGUCGAAAGAUUAGCUAAUACCGCAUACGACCUGAGGGUGAAAGUGGGGGACCGCAAGGCCUCAUGCUAUAGGAGCGGCCGAUGUCUGAUUAGCUAGUUGGUGAGGUACAGGCUCACCAAGGCGACGAUCAGUAGCUGGUCUGAGAGGACGGUCAGCCACACUGGGACUGAGACACGGCCCAGACUCCUACGGGAGGCAGCAGUGGGGAAUUUUGGACAAUGGGCGAAAGCCUGAUCCAGCAAUGCCGCGUGUGUGAAGAAGGCCUUCGGGUUGUAAAGCACUUUUGUCCGGAAAGAAAUGGCUCUGGUUAAUACCUGGGGUCGAUGACGGUACCGGAAGAAUAAGGACCGGCUAACUACGUG
Molecule: ribosomal RNA, 490 nt
Filed under: uncultured bacterium
Lineage: Bacteria
Description: partial 16S ribosomal RNA
Rfam family: Bacterial small subunit ribosomal RNA
Source: RNAcentral